GGGAAGCUUAUGCGAUCUGGGGUCAGGCAUGUCCAUUCCUCCCACAUGAAAAAAGCCUGAGGAUCUGGCUUUGUAUAGAUAGAAUGGAGCGAAAUCUUUUAGUAUAAAAAGAUAGCUACUUAGUUUCUCCUUAUAUGGGAUGGAUGCCUGUAAGUAUCAGUGGCCUAGCUAGCUAGGUCUCCUGUGUACUUCUCUCAGGAGUUGUCAUUCUGGUCUUGAUAAAUUAGGAUGUUCUUCUGCAACUGCAUCUUUGAUUGCUCUCUCUUUCUACUCUUCAACCAUAGGCAUGUUUUCUCUUCCCCUUAGAUGGGACUCGUCAAAGAUCUUGCUAUCAAUUCUUAUUGGUUUGCUGUGAUCCACACAAGCUAAGUGGCUCUGAUGGCCUUCUUUAUAGAUAUCUUGUAGUUUUUGAAAUAAUUUUCCUCUUCUGAUUUUUUUUCUGUUAAAUCAGGUGGAUGGGUCUUAAUUAGCUUCUGUAGUUCCUAUAAUGAUAUUCAUAAGAUGGGUUGGUUCUUUUUCGCUUUUCCUCCAACUUUAUAGAGUCUAGCUAGUACUUCAUCCAUGGGUUAAUUGUCUUCCCUUUAGGGUUAGGGUUUCUGCUUUUAUCUGCAAAUUUGCAUGGGGAGAUCUCAAGACCGUCAUGAUCAUCAGUCAGUAGUGAGUCGGUAUUCGCAGGUGCGGCAUCAUCAAGAUUCACAUACUUUAGUGAGGGGUCUACCUUUAUCGAUCGAGUUAAUUGGUACUACUAACACCACCAAUUGAUUUUUGUACUCGAACUUCCUUUAGUACUCGAAAGGUAGUUCCUUUGAACUUUGAAGUGGGAAUCUUGAUGAUGCUGCAUCAGCAAGUACAUGACUAUUUGGAACCGGCGCCAAUUCUCCGAUUCAAACAUGACAGAUAAUGACCAUUCAUCAUCAUGUUGAUUCUUACUUCAGUCGUAUAUUCAGAUUCACAAUCUGACAUCAAGCAUCUCGUCGGCAAUAUAUAAGUUUGGUAAGAGAAUAUUACCCUUAUUGUUAUAGGUUGUUUACUUUAGCCCUUAUUGCUUAAGUGGUGCUAGUGCUACCUUGAUUCAAAAGACUGGUAUUACAUGAGAUGAUAUGACCCAACAAAGCACCAUCUUUGCUCAGUUAUUUGCUGUAUGUAUUAAUUUUCUAUGCAUUUUAACACCACCCAAAAACAGUCAGAGCACCUGAUGGAUCUUCUGAUUGGCCACCAGAAAUGCAAGAGGCCAAGGUAAUAUUUUAUGAUAAAUACUGCUUCAUAUAUAUAUAUUUCGAUGAUUGUCAUUCUCUUCAGCUUUUAUUCUCUUGAGGGAUUAAGGUUAAUUAUGCAUGAAAUCCAUGGUUUUUGUUUACAAAUUUUUCUUAACCGACCGACUUCAUAUAUACUUCACUGUCUUUUUUUUAAUCCUUAUUUUUGUCAAAUUGAGGCUUAUCAUUUUGCUGUUAUCAUAUAUUCUUCUGUAGUUUAGGAAUUGGAGCUCUGAUGUUUGUUUGAUUCUCUUUGCUCUUUAUUGAUAAUGGGCCGGGUUACCCAAGAAUGUCAGGAAUCUGAUAUUUUAUGUUUUACAUCGGAAUCAGCUUUUAGUUUUAAGUCUGUCCUGUCGUAUGUGGAUUCAUGACAUAUGCUUAAUAAUAAUAAUAUAUAUAUAUAUAUAUAUAUGUGUGUGUGUGUGUGUGUUGUAUUAUUACUUGUGAAAGCUUUGAAUGACCAAAUUACAGCAGAUCAUUAAUUUUGUGAUCCAAUUGCAACACGUUUUCUAAGCGCUAAAAUGCUGUUUUCUGGCUUGGUUGGAAGGAAAAUAACAACUUUUGCUAAAGAAAACAGAGUAACUUUUCAUCAUCUCAAACAGAAGCAUUAAUUGGUGUACCUCGGACUAGUAGGAAGCUAGUUGAGCCUUCACUUUUACAGAAGGUGAAAACUGACUUUAUGUUUUUUUUUAUUUUUUUUAAAUUUAUUUAUUAUCAGUAUAAGGAUAUGCAAUGGAUGGUACUAGCCAAUCACUUUCUUUGAAGCAAUUAUAGCCCUUUUAUAUCUAUGUUUUUAAGUGGUCAGUCUAAGGUUGAUAUACAUUGUUGGCUCAUUUCUUGAUAGCUUAAAAUUUUAGAGCGAGUGUCUAACAUGAUACCAUAGUCUUGUUUACAAGUGGUGUUGAGUUCGAUCCUUGUUUCCAACUUCUUUGUUGUUUUGCAAGAGUGUUAGUUUGAUACACAUAGUUGACUUAUUCUCUAAUAGUUUAAUCUUUUGAAUCGAGUGAUUGUCUAAUGUACAAUUAAUAAUAUAAGUUCCCUCUUCAUCAUUUUUUGGCCGCAAAACAUUCUUAUUUAGAUGGAUAUAUGCACUUGACUUACUUUGAUGCUAUCUUACACUACUUAAAGUUGAAGGAGUUCUUCAAAAGUUGAUAUUCAGCUUAGUAUAUAAGGAGUUCUUCAAAAGUUGAUACCUUAUUAAGCAAUAAGGAGUUUGUGCAUGGGAAUAACUUUUUACAGCAAUGCCCAAGUUCCAACUGUCUAUGAAUUCUUUGGCCUGCGUUGUGGAAAAGAAUAAAGAAACAAGCUUAAUUGGCAUUGCUGCCAUUGACAGCAUUUUGAAUCUUUCGUUAGUUAAUUGUAAUAGAUUAAAUAUUGUUUUCCUCUCAAAUCUUGUUGUUAACUUCAAGCUUCAACUUUGGAUUAUGUAGUCAUACUCAUUCGCCUUCAAGAAUCAGAUAGAUGCUGCUAGACAAACAUAUGCAUUAUUAUCUAAAUGUUCAUGCUUAUGGCAGUGAGUGAGGACUAAGUCAAUUUAAUUUUAUAUCAUACUUUGCCACAAAAUUACUCUAAA
Molecule: long non-coding RNA, 2826 nt
Organism: Prunus persica (peach)
Lineage: Eukaryota; Viridiplantae; Streptophyta; Magnoliopsida; Rosales; Rosaceae
Exons: 2
Source: RefSeq, a predicted model, not a curated record